UUAUCCUUUGUUGCCAGCACAUUAUGGUGGGAACUCAAAGGAGACUGCCGGUGAUAAACCGGAGGAAGGUGGGGAUGACGUCAAGUCAUCAUGGCCCUUACGAGUAGGGCUACACACGUGCUACAAUGGCGUAUACAAAGAGAAGCGACCUCGCGAGAGCAAGCGGAACUCAUAAAGUACGUCGUAGUCCGGAUUGGAGUCUGCAACUCGACUCCAUGAAGUCGGAAUCGCUAGUAAUCGUAGAUCAGAAUGAUACGGUGAAUACGUUCCCGGGCCUUGUACACACCGCCCGUCACACCAUGGGAGUGGGUUGCAAAAGAAGUAGGUAGCUUAACCUUCGGGAGGGCGCUUACCACUUUGUGAUUCAUGACUGGGGUGAAGUCGUAACAAGGUAACCA
This 398-nucleotide ribosomal RNA is filed under the name uncultured Providencia sp. RNAcentral's name for it is "bacterial SSU rRNA". It matches the Rfam family "Bacterial small subunit ribosomal RNA", at positions 1105 to 1502 of the family's 1533-position model. Lineage: Bacteria; Pseudomonadati; Pseudomonadota; Gammaproteobacteria; Enterobacterales; Morganellaceae. The record is from RNAcentral.